CCAGCAGCUGCGGUAAUACGAGGGGUCCUAGCGUUGCUCGGAAUCAUUGGGCGUAAAGCGGGUGUAGGCGGACAACCAAGUCAGAUGUGAAAGCCCCAGGCUCAACCUGGGAAGUGCAUUUGAAACUGGUUAUCUUGAGUGCAGUAGAGGAAGGUGGAAUUCCAAGUGUAGUGGUGAAAUACGUAGAUAUUUGGAGGAACAUCGGUGGCGAAGGCGACCUUCUGGACUGUUACUGACGCUGAGACCCGAAAGCGUGGGGAUCAAACAGGAUUAGAUACCCUGGUAGUCCACGCCGUAAACGAUGGACACUUGGUGUUGGAGGUAUUGACCCCUUCAGUGCCGAAGCUAACGCGUUAAGUGUCCCGCCUGGGGAGUACGGUCGCAAGAUUAAAACUCAAAGAAAUUGACGGGGGCCCGCACAAGCGGUGGAGCAUGUGGUUUAAUUCGAUGCAACGCGAAAAACCUUACCUAGGCUCGAAAUGUACAGGAAGACGCCAGAGAUGGUGUCGUCUUCGGACCUGUAUAUAGGUGCUGCAU
RNAcentral lists this ribosomal RNA (537 nucleotides) under uncultured Bdellovibrio sp. Its description in RNAcentral is "bacterial SSU rRNA". It matches the Rfam family "Bacterial small subunit ribosomal RNA", at positions 508 to 1046 of the family's 1533-position model. The record is from RNAcentral. Lineage: Bacteria; Pseudomonadati; Bdellovibrionota; Bdellovibrionia; Bdellovibrionales; Pseudobdellovibrionaceae.